This 875-nucleotide ribosomal RNA is filed under the name Anaerolineae bacterium UTCFX2. RNAcentral's name for it is "bacterial SSU rRNA". It matches the Rfam family "Bacterial small subunit ribosomal RNA", at positions 8 to 900 of the family's 1533-position model. The record is from RNAcentral. Lineage: Bacteria; Bacillati; Chloroflexota; Anaerolineae.
AGAGUUUGAUCCUGGCUCAGGAUGAACGCUGGCGGCGUGCCUAAUACAUGCAAGUCGAACGGAGUGCUAGAAAUAGGACUCAGUGGCGAACGGGUGAGUAACACGUAGGCGACCUGCCCCGAAGAGUGGGAUAACAGUUCGAAAGGGCUGCUAAUACCGCAUGAGGUCUCAAGAGUUAGAGGACUUGAGACGAAAAGGAGUAAUCCUGCUUUGGGAGGGGCCUGCGUCCCAUCAGCUAGUUGGUAGGGUAAGAGCCUACCAAGGCGAAGACGGGUAGGGGACCUGAGAGGGUGACCCCCCACACUGGCACUGAAACACGGGCCAGACACCUACGGGUGGCAGCAGUAGGGAAUAUUGCACAAUGGGCGAAAGCCUGAUGCAGCAACGCCGCGUGCGCGAAGAAGGCCUUCGGGUUGUAAAGCGCUUUUCGGGGAGAUGAGGAAGGACAGUAUCCCCGGAAUAAGGCUCGGCUAACUACGUGCCAGCAGCCGCGGUAACACGUAGGAGCCAAGCGUUAUCCGAAUUCACUGGGCGUAAAGCGCGUGCAGGCGGCUUGGAAAGUUGGAUGUGAAAGCUCCCGGCUCAACUGGGAGAGGACGUUCAAAACUACCGAGCUAGAGGACGGCAGAGGGAGGUGGAAUUCCCGGUGUAGUGGUGAAAUGCGUAGAUAUCGGGAGGAACACCAGUGGCGAAGGCGGCCUUCUGGGCCGCACCUGACGCUCAGACGCGAAAGCUAGGGGAGCGAACGGGAUUAGAAACCCCGGUAGUCCUAGCUGUAAACGAUGUAGACUUGGUGUAGGUGGUGUAAAAGCCAUCUGUGCCGCAGCAAACGCGAUAAGUCUACCGCCUGGGGACUACGGCCGCAAGGUUAAAAC